UAGUCUUGAUCCAUGCGAACUCCACAGACACCCUCGGAGAUACCUAUAGAGCAUCUUUAUAGUCACCCAAUUACAUUAUGACGUUUGAUACACACAAGGCAUUCCUCCGGUGCCAGUGAGUUACAUGAUCUCAUGGUCAUAGGAAUAGAUACAUUGACAUGCAUAAAGCAAUAGCACUAGAGUGGAUACGUUCAAACGCUAUGCUUAAGGUUUGGUUCUUGUCCAUCACAUCAUUCUCCUAAUGAUGUGAUCCCGUUAUCAAAUGAAAACUCAUGUCUAUGGCUAGGAAAACUUAGCCAUAUCUUAUUAACGAGCUAUGUCUAUGUUAUGACAUUUGAUUUACAUUGUGACGUUUGACACACACAUGUUUAUGUAUCUACACAU
RNAcentral lists this long non-coding RNA (384 nucleotides) under Hordeum vulgare. RNAcentral's name for it is "long non-coding RNA (HVUL_LNC000414)". Lineage: Eukaryota; Viridiplantae; Streptophyta; Magnoliopsida; Poales; Poaceae. The record is from RNAcentral.